RNAcentral lists this non-coding RNA (19 nucleotides) under Arabidopsis thaliana (thale cress). The record is from RNAcentral. Lineage: Eukaryota; Viridiplantae; Streptophyta; Magnoliopsida; Brassicales; Brassicaceae.
UUUUCUCCUACCUUGUCUA